AUAACGGUCCUAAGGUAGCGAAAUUCCUUGUCGGGUAAGUUCCGACCUGCACGAAAGGCGCAACGACUUGGGCGCUGUCUCGACCAUGGACCCGGUGAAAUUGCACUGGUCGUGAAGAUGCGACUUACCCGCGGAAGGACGGAAAGACCCCGUGAACCUUCACUGCAGCUUGGCAUUGGCCGCUGGUCCCGCGUGUAGAGGAUAGGCAGGAGGCACAGAUCCGGAGGCGCCAGCCCCCGGGGAGCCGCCCUUGGAAUACUGCCCUCGCGCGACCGGCGUCCUAACCCGAGGCCGUCAACCGGCUCGGGGACCGUGCCAGGCGGGCAGUUUGACUGGGGCGGUCGCCUCCUAAAGGGUAACGGAGGCGCGCGAAGGUCCGCUCGGGACGGUCGGCAACCGUCCUCUUGAGUGCAAGAGCAUAAGCGGGCUUGACUGCGAGGCCUACAAGCCGAGCAGGUGCGAAAGCAGGCUCUAGUGAUCCGGCGGCCCCGAGUGGGUGGGCCGUCGCUCAACGGAUAAAAGGUACUCCGGGGAUAACAGGCUGAUCUUGCCCAAGAGUCCACAUCGACGGCAAGGUUUGGCACCUCGAUGUCGGCUCAUCGCAUCCUGGGGCUGGAGCAGGUCCCAAGGGUACGGCUGUUCGCCGUUUAAAGCGGUACGCGAGCUGGGUUCAGAACGUCGUGAGACAGUUCGGUCCCUAUCCUCCGUGGGCGCAGGAGAAUCGAUGGAGGCUGCCCCCAGUACGAGAGGACCGGGGUGGACGCACCUCCGGUGAACCGGUUGUCGACCAACGGCACGGCCGGGUAGCCGCGUGCGGCGCGGAUAACCGCUGAAGGCAUCUAAGCGGGAAGCCGUUCCAGGGAUUAGUUCUCCUUCCGGUAAGGGCCCAGGUAGACUACCUGGUCGAUAGACGGCAGGUGCAAGGGCGGCGACGUCCUCAGCCGAGCCGCACUAAUCGCCCGAGCUCUUCCGGAA
This 975-nucleotide ribosomal RNA is filed under the name human gut metagenome. RNAcentral's name for it is "bacterial LSU rRNA". It matches the Rfam family "Bacterial large subunit ribosomal RNA", at positions 1942 to 2925 of the family's 2925-position model. The record is from RNAcentral.